AUGCUCCAUUGGUCUUUUUGUGUUUUCUACCCACCUUUACUUCCGUGGCGGUGAGAUAGUGUGAUGUCUUUACUGGGCUGGUGUAGCUCAUUCUUUAUUUAACUAUUUCAGAUCAGGAAGACGUUGUUCCCGAGCCCGUUCCGCAGGAAGACGGCGAAGGGGACGCCUAAAGACUCCGUAGUUAUAUUUAUAGUUCUUAUUUUCGAGUAUUUCUUUU
This 217-nucleotide long non-coding RNA is filed under the name Carica papaya (papaya). Its description in RNAcentral is "long non-coding RNA (CPAP_LNC011994)". Lineage: Eukaryota; Viridiplantae; Streptophyta; Magnoliopsida; Brassicales; Caricaceae. The record is from RNAcentral.